GCGCCUUUAGCUCAGUCGGUAGAGCAGCGGACUUUUAAUCCGUUGGUCCCGGGUUCGAGUCCCGGAGGGCGCA
RNAcentral lists this transfer RNA (73 nucleotides) under Alphaproteobacteria bacterium. RNAcentral describes it as "tRNA-Lys". It matches the Rfam family "tRNA". From Rfam's summary of the family: Transfer RNA (tRNA) molecules are approximately 80 nucleotides in length. The record is from RNAcentral. RNAcentral also lists the same sequence under 11 other names. Lineage: Bacteria; Pseudomonadati; Pseudomonadota; Alphaproteobacteria.